Molecule: non-coding RNA, 91 nt
Organism: Termitomyces sp. T159_Od127
Lineage: Eukaryota; Fungi; Basidiomycota; Agaricomycetes; Agaricales; Lyophyllaceae
Source: the annotation of a GenBank genome assembly
GCCCGCCUAGCUCAAUCGGAUAGAGCGUCAGACUCUUAUUUCCAUUGCGGGUUAUAUCUGAAGGCUGCGAGUUCGACCCUCGCGGUGGGCU